AAAUAAAUAAAAUAAAAUAAAAAAUAGAAGGGAUUCCAUGCCACAUAAAAAGACAAAGAAGUAUUUUGAUGCACAACCGCAAGCUGGCAGCCAUCACCAUCACGAAAGCCACAUUGGCUGCUGCCGCUGCUAUGUGCGUGGUUGGACCAAAGCUUUAUCACUUUACGUGUCAACACCUCCCUGCCCGUGAUAUUUAUAACAAGCCACCAUCGUGCACUCUAUCCUAAAACCGUUUCGCUCGGGUGCUAUGCUGGCGGUGGUCUUCCCAGUCGCUUGCUUCCCUCAUAGGGAUGUACCUCGCUGUCACGUGUCCCCCGCCCGAACCACCGUCUCCAGACCUAGUUUGACAUCUACCUCCACGUAGGCUCGGACAACCGUUUGCCUCCGAACCAAAGUCCAAUAAACAAACAAAAAAACAACAUUAAUAAAAAUAAAAAACAAUUAAUAAAAUACACUCAUUGUAGUUGCAGCACAGAGACACGCAGAGCAAAGAAAGGAGUGUGGGUUCGUCUUCUCUUAUCUCAGAAGCCAAAAUAAUGAAAA
Molecule: unclassified non-coding RNA, 543 nt
Filed under: Hevea brasiliensis (rubber tree)
Lineage: Eukaryota; Viridiplantae; Streptophyta; Magnoliopsida; Malpighiales; Euphorbiaceae
Source: RNAcentral